UCAGGACGAACGCUGGCGGCGUGCUUAACACAUGCAAGUCGAGCGGAAAGGCCACUUCGGUGGUACUCGAGCGGCGAACGGGUGAGUAACACGUGAGUAAUCUGCCCCUGGCUUUGGGAUAGCCACCGGAAACGGUGAUUAAUACCGGAUACGACAACUUCUUGCAUGAGAUGGUUGUGGAAAGUUUUUCGGCCAGGGAUGUGCUCGCGGCCUAUCAGCUUGAUGGUGAGGUAAUGGCUCACCAUGGCUUCGACGGGUAGCCGGCCUGAGAGGGUGACCGGCCACACUGGGACUGAGACACGGCCCAGACUCCUACGGGAGGCAGCAGUGGGGAAUAUUGGACAAUGGGCGGAAGCCUGAUCCAGCAACGCCGCGUGAGGGAUGACGGCCUUCGGGUUGUAAACCUCUUUCAGCAGGGACGAAGCGCAAGUGACGGUACCUGCAGAAGAAGCACCGGCCAACUACGUGCCAGCAGCCGCGGUAAUACGUAGGGUGCGAGCGUUGUCCGGAAUUAUUGGGCGUAAAGGGCUCGUAGGCGGUUUGUCGCGUCGGGAGUGAAAACCAGGUGCUUAACACCUGGCUUGCUUUCGAUACGGGCAGACUAGAGGUAUUCAGGGGAGAACGGAAUUCCUGGUGUAGCGGUGAAAUGCGCAGAUAUCAGGAGGAACACCGGUGGCGAAGGCGGUUCUCUGGGAAUGACCUGAC
This 705-nucleotide ribosomal RNA is filed under the name Nocardioides sp. L1976. Its description in RNAcentral is "bacterial SSU rRNA". It matches the Rfam family "Bacterial small subunit ribosomal RNA", at positions 24 to 744 of the family's 1533-position model. Lineage: Bacteria; Bacillati; Actinomycetota; Actinomycetes; Propionibacteriales; Nocardioidaceae. The record is from RNAcentral.